CUGUGAAUAUUCUCAAUGUUCUGAUUAUGUGAUAGUCAGGAUAGGCUAAACAUUUGCUACAUUAAGAACAUGCUGAGCAUUUUUUCAUGUGUCUGUUGGCUGUAUGAAUAUCUUCUUUUGAGAAAUGUCUGUUCAUAUCC
Molecule: small nucleolar RNA, 140 nt
Organism: Rhinopithecus roxellana (golden snub-nosed monkey)
Lineage: Eukaryota; Metazoa; Chordata; Mammalia; Primates; Cercopithecidae
Product: small nucleolar RNA SNORA72
Exons: 1
Source: RefSeq, a predicted model, not a curated record